GUUUGAAUAGCUCAGUUGGCAGAGCGGAGGACUGAAAAUCCUUAGGUCGUUGGUUCAAGUCCGACUUUAGACA
RNAcentral lists this transfer RNA (73 nucleotides) under Dictyopteris divaricata. RNAcentral describes it as "tRNA-Phe". It matches the Rfam family "tRNA". Rfam says of the family: Transfer RNA (tRNA) molecules are approximately 80 nucleotides in length. The record is from RNAcentral. Lineage: Eukaryota; Phaeophyceae; Dictyotales; Dictyotaceae.